GACGAACGCUGGCGGCGUGCCUAAUACAUGCAAGUCGAGCGAACAGACGAGGAGCUUGCUCCUCUGAUGUUAGCGGCGGACGGGUGAGUAACACGUGGAUAACCUACCUAUAAGACUGGGAUAACUUCGGGAAACCGGAGCUAAUACCGGAUAAUAUAUUGAACCGCAUGGUUCAAUAGUGAAAGACGGUUUUGCUGUCACUUAUAGAUGGAUCCGCGCCGCAUUAGCUAGUUGGUAAGGUAACGGCUUACCAAGGCAACGAUGCGUAGCCGACCUGAGAGGGUGAUCGGCCACACUGGAACUGAGACACGGUCCAGACUCCUACGGGAGGCAGCAGUAGGGAAUCUUCCGCAAUGGGCGAAAGCCUGACGGAGCAACGCCGCGUGAGUGAUGAAGGUCUUCGGAUCGUAAAACUCUGUUAUUAGGGAAGAACAAAUGUGUAAGUAACUAUGCACGUCUUGACGGUACCUAAUCAGAAAGCCACGGCUAACUACGUG
This 497-nucleotide ribosomal RNA is filed under the name uncultured bacterium. Its description in RNAcentral is "partial 16S ribosomal RNA". It matches the Rfam family "Bacterial small subunit ribosomal RNA", at positions 28 to 507 of the family's 1533-position model. The record is from RNAcentral.